CCUACGGGAGGCAGCAGUGGGGAAUCUUGCGCAAUGGGCGAAAGCCUGACGCAGCCAUGCCGCGUGAAUGAUGAAGGUCUUAGGAUUGUAAAAUUCUUUCACCGGGGACGAUAAUGACGGUACCCGGAGAGGAGGCCCCGGCUAACUUCGUGCCAGCAGCCGCGGUAAUACGAAGGGGGCUAGCGUUGCUCGGAAUUACUGGGCGUAAAGGGAGCGUAGGCGGAUGGUUUAGUCAGAGGUGAAAGCCCAGGGCUCAACCUUGGAAUUGCCUUUGAUACUGGCUAUCUUGAGUGUGGGAGAGGUAUGUGGAACUCCGAGUGUAGAGGUGAAAUUCGUAGAUAUUCGGAAGAACACCAGUGGCGAAGGCGACAUACUGGCCCAUUACUGACGCUGAGGCUCGAAAGCGUGGGGAGCAAACAGGAUUAGAUACCCUGGUAGUCCACGCUGUAAACGAUGAGUGCUAGUUGUCGGCAUGCAUGCAUGUCGGUGACGCAGCUAACGCAUUAAGCACCUCCGCCGUCGGGAGGUACGGUCGCGAAGAAGUUAAAACGUUAAAACGGUAAGUUAGUACGGCGUGAGACGUGCCGACGGACGACGACGAGGGAGGUUAGG
This 612-nucleotide ribosomal RNA is filed under the name uncultured bacterium. RNAcentral's name for it is "bacterial SSU rRNA". The stretch from base 1 to 518 matches the Rfam family "Bacterial small subunit ribosomal RNA", at positions 338 to 873 of the family's 1533-position model. The record is from RNAcentral.